RNAcentral lists this ribosomal RNA (2931 nucleotides) under Escherichia coli. Its description in RNAcentral is "23S ribosomal RNA". It matches the Rfam family "Bacterial large subunit ribosomal RNA". Lineage: Bacteria; Pseudomonadati; Pseudomonadota; Gammaproteobacteria; Enterobacterales; Enterobacteriaceae. The record is from RNAcentral.
GGGUUGUGAGGUUAAGCGACUAAGCGUACACGGUGGAUGCCCUGGCAGUCAGAGGCGAUGAAGGACGUGCUAAUCUGCGAUAAGCGUCGGUAAGGUGAUAUGAACCGUUAUAACCGGCGAUUUCCGAAUGGGGAAACCCAGUGUGAUUCGUCACACUAUCAUUAACUGAAUCCAUAGGUUAAUGAGGCGAACCGGGGGAACUGAAACAUCUAAGUACCCCGAGGAAAAGAAAUCAACCGAGAUUCCCCCAGUAGCGGCGAGCGAACGGGGAGCAGCCCAGAGCCUGAAUCAGUGUGUGUGUUAGUGGAAGCGUCUGGAAAGGCGCGCGAUACAGGGUGACAGCCCCGUACACAAAAAUGCACAUGCUGUGAGCUCGAUGAGUAGGGCGGGACACGUGGUAUCCUGUCUGAAUAUGGGGGGACCAUCCUCCAAGGCUAAAUACUCCUGACUGACCGAUAGUGAACCAGUACCGUGAGGGAAAGGCGAAAAGAACCCCGGCGAGGGGAGUGAAAAAGAACCUGAAACCGUGUACGUACAAGCAGUGGGAGCACGCUUCGGCGUGUGACUGCGUACCUUUUGUAUAAUGGGUCAGCGACUUAUAUUCUGUAGCAAGGUUAACCGAAUAGGGGAGCCGAAGGGAAACCGAGUCUUAACUGGGCGUUAAGUUGCAGGGUAUAGACCCGAAACCCGGUGAUCUAGCCAUGGGCAGGUUGAAGGUUGGGUAACACUAACUGGAGGACCGAACCGACUAAUGUUGAAAAAUUAGCGGAUGACUUGUGGCUGGGGGUGAAAGGCCAAUCAAACCGGGAGAUAGCUGGUUCUCCCCGAAAGCUAUUUAGGUAGCGCCUCGUGAAUUCAUCUCCGGGGGUAGAGCACUGUUUCGGCAAGGGGGUCAUCCCGACUUACCAACCCGAUGCAAACUGCGAAUACCGGAGAAUGUUAUCACGGGAGACACACGGCGGGUGCUAACGUCCGUCGUGAAGAGGGAAACAACCCAGACCGCCAGCUAAGGUCCCAAAGUCAUGGUUAAGUGGGAAACGAUGUGGGAAGGCCCAGACAGCCAGGAUGUUGGCUUAGAAGCAGCCAUCAUUUAAAGAAAGCGUAAUAGCUCACUGGUCGAGUCGGCCUGCGCGGAAGAUGUAACGGGGCUAAACCAUGCACCGAAGCUGCGGCAGCGACGCUUAUGCGUUGUUGGGUAGGGGAGCGUUCUGUAAGCCUGCGAAGGUGUGCUGUGAGGCAUGCUGGAGGUAUCAGAAGUGCGAAUGCUGACAUAAGUAACGAUAAAGCGGGUGAAAAGCCCGCUCGCCGGAAGACCAAGGGUUCCUGUCCAACGUUAAUCGGGGCAGGGUGAGUCGACCCCUAAGGCGAGGCCGAAAGGCGUAGUCGAUGGGAAACAGGUUAAUAUUCCUGUACUUGGUGUUACUGCGAAGGGGGGACGGAGAAGGCUAUGUUGGCCGGGCGACGGUUGUCCCGGUUUAAGCGUGUAGGCUGGUUUUCCAGGCAAAUCCGGAAAAUCAAGGCUGAGGCGUGAUGACGAGGCACUACGGUGCUGAAGCAACAAAUGCCCUGCUUCCAGGAAAAGCCUCUAAGCAUCAGGUAACAUCAAAUCGUACCCCAAACCGACACAGGUGGUCAGGUAGAGAAUACCAAGGCGCUUGAGAGAACUCGGGUGAAGGAACUAGGCAAAAUGGUGCCGUAACUUCGGGAGAAGGCACGCUGAUAUGUAGGUGAAGUCCCUCGCGGAUGGAGCUGAAAUCAGUCGAAGAUACCAGCUGGCUGCAACUGUUUAUUAAAAACACAGCACUGUGCAAACACGAAAGUGGACGUAUACGGUGUGACGCCUGCCCGGUGCCGGAAGGUUAAUUGAUGGGGUCAGCGCAAGCGAAGCUCUUGAUCGAAGCCCCGGUAAACGGCGGCCGUAACUAUAACGGUCCUAAGGUAGCGAAAUUCCUUGUCGGGUAAGUUCCGACCUGCACGAAUGGCGUAAUGAUGGCCAGGCUGUCUCCACCCGAGACUCAGUGAAAUUGAACUCGCUGUGAAGAUGCAGUGUACCCGCGGCAAGACGGAAAGACCCCGUGAACCUUUACUAUAGCUUGACACUGAACAUUGAGCCUUGAUGUGUAGGAUAGGUGGGAGGCUUUGAAGUGUGGACGCCAGUCUGCAUGGAGCCGACCUUGAAAUACCACCCUUUAAUGUUUGAUGUUCUAACGUUGACCCGUGAUCCGGGUUGCGGACAGUGUCUGGUGGGUAGUUUGACUGGGGCGGUCUCCUCCUAAAGAGUAACGGAGGAGCACGAAGGUUGGCUAAUCCUGGUCGGACAUCAGGAGGUUAGUGCAAUGGCAUAAGCCAGCUUGACUGCGAGCGUGACGGCGCGAGCAGGUGCGAAAGCAGGUCAUAGUGAUCCGGUGGUUCUGAAUGGAAGGGCCAUCGCUCAACGGAUAAAAGGUACUCCGGGGAUAACAGGCUGAUACCGCCCAAGAGUUCAUAUCGACGGCGGUGUUUGGCACCUCGAUGUCGGCUCAUCACAUCCUGGGGCUGAAGUAGGUCCCAAGGGUAUGGCUGUUCGCCAUUUAAAGUGGUACGCGAGCUGGGUUUAGAACGUCGUGAGACAGUUCGGUCCCUAUCUGCCGUGGGCGCUGGAGAACUGAGGGGGGCUGCUCCUAGUACGAGAGGACCGGAGUGGACGCAUCACUGGUGUUCGGGUUGUCAUGCCAAUGGCACUGCCCGGUAGCUAAAUGCGGAAGAGAUAAGUGCUGAAAGCAUCUAAGCACGAAACUUGCCCCGAGAUGAGUUCUCCCUGACUCCUUGAGAGUCCUGAAGGAACGUUGAAGACGACGACGUUGAUAGGCCGGGUGUGUAAGCGCAGCGAUGCGUUGAGCUAACCGGUACUAAUGAACCGUGAGGCUUAACCUUACAACGCCGAAGGUGUUU